AGAAUCAACGCUGGCGGCGUGCCUAACACAUGCAAGUCGAACGAGAAAGUGGAGCAAUCCAUGAGUAAAGUGGCGCACGGGUGAGUAACACGUGACUAACCUACCUUUUAGUGGGGGAUAACCUAGGGAAACCUGGGCUAAUACCGCAUAACACUUACGAGUCAAAGCAGCAAUGCGCUGAAAGAGGGGGUCGCGGCCGAUUAGCUAGUUGGCGGGGUAAUGGCCCACCAAGGCAGUGAUCGGUAUCCGGCCCGAGAGGGCGCACGGACACACUGGAACUGAAACACGGUCCAGACUCCUACGGGAGGCAGCAGUGGGGAAUUUUGCGCAAUGGGGGAAACCCUGACGCAGCAACGCCGCGUGGAGGAUGAAGUCCCUUGGGACGUAAACUCCUUUCGAUCGGGACGAUAAUGACGGUACCGGAAGAAGAAGCCCCGGCUAACUUCGUGCCAGCAGCCGC
Molecule: ribosomal RNA, 460 nt
Filed under: uncultured bacterium
Lineage: Bacteria
Description: SSU rRNA
Rfam family: Bacterial small subunit ribosomal RNA
Source: RNAcentral